GUGUAAUAUAAUAAAAGGCUUCGCCAUUAACAUGUCAACAUGCAUAAAUCACUUGUUUAAUCUUGCCUAUUUUAUGAGGUAAGAGCGGCCUGGCAUCGGACUGUGCAUGCAGAAUGCACCGGGGGGAACGUGGCGGGGGGUACUAGCGUUGGUGGGAGGCCUCAAAACGACGCCGAUACGAGUCAUGCCCGACAUGGUCGCAUGCAUGAGUCCCAUGAUUCUCUCUACACACGCAGUCGACAUGCAAGGCACGCGGAGGGGGACGAAGGAAGGAGAGAUCCGCGGGGAGAAUAUAUGGAAGCCGAGUAGAGACGACAGAUCGUCUACUGCCUCAGUCGACCUCUCCCCCUUCCAUUAUGCCGGCCAGCUUGCUCACGCAUGCUCCACCUCACCUGGUGAUGGGGUUAAGUGAUGAUUAACCAAAAGCUCAGGCCUACAGCACCGUGUCGUCGUACUAAAUCAACGCUUACGUAGUACUAUCCAUCUUUCCCUUCACUGUGAAGUUUCUUUGCAUAAUGUUGCGCAGCACACUUGCCUGUGCAGAGAAGCCGACGCCCAAAAGCUUAAUUAGCACCGCGAACAGAAAGAUCACGAAAGUUUCACAAGAUUACACUGCGGCAUGCAUGGGCUGAGCGGGCCAUCGACUGUCUAUCUAACUAAUCUGAUCGAUCUGGAAAAACAGAGCCAGCCCGCGCCCAGCGAGCCUUUGGAAGAACCCCAUCUGAUGAUGAUUACGGCAUUACGGUGCUGUUUCUUUAUUUUUUCCUUGCACCUUUGAGGUAGACAGCUCACGCCCCUGAUCUUACAGCUAAGUCCCAGCCCAGCCUUGUCCCUUUGCGGGUCUCCUCCCAUUCCCAAUCCAGUCAAACCUGAGCUCGAUUCCUCCCUCCACUUUCUCUCUCUCUCUCUCUNN
RNAcentral lists this long non-coding RNA (913 nucleotides) under Hordeum vulgare. Its description in RNAcentral is "long non-coding RNA (HVUL_LNC010547)". The record is from RNAcentral. Lineage: Eukaryota; Viridiplantae; Streptophyta; Magnoliopsida; Poales; Poaceae.